ACGAACGCUGGCGGCGUGCUUAACACAUGCCAGUCGAACGGAAAGGCCCUGCUUUUGUGGGGUGCUCGAGUGGCGAACGGGUGAGUAACACGUGAGUAACCUGCCCUUGACUUUGGGAUAGCUUCAGGAAACUGGGGCUAAUACCGGAUAGGAGCUCCUGCUGCAUGGUGGGGGUUGGAAAGUUUCGGCGGUUGGGGAUGGACUCGCGGCUUAUCAGCUUGUUGGUGGGGUAGUGGCUUACCAAGGCUUUGACGGGUAGCCGGCCUGAGAGGGUGACCGGCCACAUUGGGACUGAGAUACGGCCCAGACUCCUACGGGAGGCAGCAGUGGGGAAUAUUGCACAAUGGGCGGAAGCCUGAUGCAGCAACGCCGCGUGCGGGAUGACGGCCUUCGGGUUGUAAACCGCUUUCGCCUGUGACGAAGCGUGAGUGACGGUAAUGGGUAAAGAAGCACCGGCUAACUACGUG
RNAcentral lists this ribosomal RNA (467 nucleotides) under uncultured bacterium. RNAcentral describes it as "partial 16S ribosomal RNA". It matches the Rfam family "Bacterial small subunit ribosomal RNA", at positions 29 to 507 of the family's 1533-position model. The record is from RNAcentral.